GAGGGUAUAGCUCAGUGGCGGAGUGUGUGCUUAGCAUGCACUAGGUCCUGGAUUCAAUCCCCAGUACUGCCA
Camelus ferus (Wild Bactrian camel) is the source of this 72-nucleotide transfer RNA. It matches the Rfam family "tRNA". From Rfam's summary of the family: Transfer RNA (tRNA) molecules are approximately 80 nucleotides in length. NCBI's taxonomy places the organism in Eukaryota, Metazoa, Chordata, Mammalia, Artiodactyla, Camelidae. The record is from Rfam.